GAUGGUGAUUCUAGCGGCAGGGCAAUACCUGGUCCCAUCUCGAACCCAGUAGUCAAGCCUGCCAGCGCCGAUGGUACUUCAAGGGUAGCCUUGCGGGAGAGUAGGUCAUCGCCAUCA
RNAcentral lists this ribosomal RNA (117 nucleotides) under bacterium. The record is from RNAcentral.